ACUCCUGUCUGCACAGUCGAAGGAGAAACAGACCCACGGGACGAGACGAGGAGUGGGGGGACACAGACAAACACUGAGAGAGAGAGCGUGGGGGGGGGGCGACAACUGUGAAGUUCGACUUCAGAGUGUGACCCUGGAGAGCAUAAGGACAGUGACAUUGAGACAGAGGAAACAAGUCAAAACUGUACUCUCAGAGGGGCACUUCACACUCACUUCACAGCAACUCCUGCAACCUGUUGAUCGGUACAGAUAUUCACACGGAGCGACAGUAAAGUGGGCCUGCUGUUCAAAUGCACUGUAAUGUUGGCAGUGGAAUAUUGCCCUGAUCUUAGGUAUGCCACCGUGGACCGGCUCUAUUACAAAGAUGUACACACUCACAUUCUGUAAUGAAACACGUUACUUGGAAAUAUGCCUGGCUUCUUAUUGCAUUUACAGAUCAUAAAUGUCUUCACUUUUUAUGAAACCUUAUAAGCUACUUUGACCAAAAAUGUAUGUAAAAAGAAAGAAAUAUGUUCAAAUGCAUUCUUGUGAUAAACUGUUUCUUAAAGGUGGGGUACGUAAUUUUGGAGAAACCAGCUCGAGUGCGCUAGAAUUUGAAAAUACACAAAGGAAAAAAUCUGCCUCUUCCUUCGGACUUCCUUACAGAGCCCCUCCUCCAACACACACGAACGCACACAUGACCAAUGAGGGCACAAGAUAAGUUUGUGCACAGAUGGAAGGCUGACAGGCAGGUAGGCCAUCCAGUUAUUUGAGCCGGGGCGGCUCAAAUGAUUGGUCGUGCUUUUUACAGUACUACGGCUUCCACAGAUGACGUUUUUUUAUGGAUUUAUUGUCAAAGCAUUUAAGAUAUUCAUUGCUAUCGGGAUGAUAAGAGCAUUCCAUGGAAUAUAACAAAAAGUGUUUCUGAAAUAAAUUACAUACCCCACCUUUAAUAAGGUCUGAUGAAAAAUGUGUUUCACCGUUUUUGCUUUCUUUUGACUUAUUUUUCAGGUUUCAAAGCUUCGUUUUUUUUGUCGGUUUUAUGCCUGUUUGUGAAAUAAAUAAAUAAACAAAUAAAAA
Notothenia coriiceps (black rockcod) is the source of this 1059-nucleotide long non-coding RNA. RefSeq lists it as uncharacterized. The record is from RefSeq and is a predicted model, not a curated record. The transcript is spliced from 3 exons. NCBI's taxonomy places the organism in Eukaryota, Metazoa, Chordata, Actinopteri, Perciformes, Nototheniidae.